RNAcentral lists this ribosomal RNA (540 nucleotides) under uncultured bacterium. RNAcentral describes it as "bacterial SSU rRNA". It matches the Rfam family "Bacterial small subunit ribosomal RNA", at positions 355 to 896 of the family's 1533-position model. The record is from RNAcentral.
UGAGGAAUAUUGGUCAAUGGGCGAGAGCCUGAACCAGCCAAGUAGCGUGCAGGAUGACGGCCCUCCGGGUUGUAAACUGCUUUUAGUUGGGAAUAAAAAAAGGGACUUGUCCCUUCUUGUAUGUACCUUCAGAAAAAGGACCGGCUAAUUCCGUGCCAGCAGCCGCGGUAAUACGGAAGGUCCAGGCGUUAUCCGGAUUUAUUGGGUUUAAAGGGAGCGUAGGCGGAUUGUUAAGUCAGCGGUUAAAGGGUGUGGCUCAACCAUGCAUUGCCGUUGAAACUGGCGAUCUUGAGUGCAGACAGGGAUGCCGGAAUUCGUGGUGUAGCGGUGAAAUGCUUAGAUAUCACGAAGAACUCCGAUCGCGAAGGCAGGUGUCCGGGCUGCAACUGACGCUGAGGCUCGAAAGUGUGGGUAUCAAACAGGAUUAGAUACCCUGGUAGUCCACACAGUAAACGAUGUAUACUCGCGGUUUGCGAUAGAGUGUAAGCCGCCAAGCGAAAGCAUUAAGUAUACCACCUGGGGAGUACGCCGGCAACGGUG